UCCGUAAGAUGGUAGCUUCGUGAAAGAG
This 28-nucleotide small RNA is filed under the name Bombyx mori (domestic silkworm). Its description in RNAcentral is "ovarian small RNA-27573". Lineage: Eukaryota; Metazoa; Arthropoda; Insecta; Lepidoptera; Bombycidae. The record is from RNAcentral.